AUGGUUGGCCGCGUGCUUUACACAUGCAGUCGAACGGGAUCCAUCAGGCUUUGCUUGGUGGUGAGAGUGGCGAACGGGUGAGUAAUGCGUGACCGACCUGCCCCAUACACCGGAAUAGCUCCUGGAAACGGGUGGUAAUGCCGGAUGCUCCGACUCCUCGCAUGGGGUGUCGGGAAAGAUUUCAUCGGUAUGGGAUGGGGUCGCGUCCUAUCAGGUAGUCGGCGGGGUAACGGCCCACCGAGCCUACGACGGGUAGCCGGCCUGAGAGGGCGACCGGCCACAUUGGGACUGAGAUACGGCCCAGACUCCUACGGGAGGCAGCAGUGGGGAAUAUUGCACAAUGGGCGCAAGCCUGAUGCAGCGACGCCGCGUGCGGGAUGACGGCCUUCGGGUUGUAAACCGCUUUUGAUCGGGAGCAAGCCUUCGGGUGAGUGUACCUUUCGAAUAAGCACCGGCUAACUACGUGCCAGCAGCCGCGGUAAUACGUAGGGUGCAAGCGUUAUCCGGAAUUAUUGGGCGUAAAGGGCUCGUAGGCGGUUCGUCGCGUCCGGUGUGAAAGUCCAUCGCUUAACGGUGGAUCUGCGCCGGGUACGGGCGGGCUGGAGUGCGGUAGGGGAGACUGGAAUUCCCGGUGUAACGGUGGAAUGUGUAGAUAUCGGGAAGAACACCAAUGGCGAAGGCAGGUCUCUGGGCCGUUACUGACGCUGAGGAGCGAAAGCGUGGGGAGCGAACAGGAUUAGAUACCCUGGUAGUCCACGCCGUAAACGGUGGAUGCUGGAUGUGGGGCCCGUUCCACGGGUUCCGUGUCGGAGCUAACGCGUUAAGCAUCCCGCCUGGGGAGUACGGCCGCAAGGCUAAAACUCAAAGAAAUUGACGGGGGCCCGCACAAGCGGCGGAGCAUGCGGAUUAAUUCGAUGCAACGCGAAGAACCUUACCUGGGCUUGACAUGUUCCCGACAGCCGUAGAGAUAUGGCCUCCCUUCGGGGCGGGUUCACAGGUGGUGCAUGGUCGUCGUCAGCUCGUGUCGUGAGAUGUUGGGUUAAGUCCCGCAACGAGCGCAACCCUCGCCCUGUGUUGCCAGCACGUCAUGGUGGGAACUCACGGGGGACCGCCGGGGUCAACUCGGAGGAAGGUGGGGAUGACGUCAGAUCAUCAUGCCCCUUACGUCCAGGGCUUCACGCAUGCUACAAUGGCCGGUACAACGGGAUGCGACACGGCGACGUGGAGCGGAUCCCUGAAAACCGGUCUCAGUUCGGAUUGGAGUCUGCAACCCGACUCCAUGAAGGCGGAGUCGCUAGUAAUCGCGGAUCAGCAACGCCGCGGUGAAUGCGUUCCCGGGCCUUGUACACACCGCCCGUCAAGUCAUGAAAGUGGGUAGCACCCGAAGCCGGUGGCCUAACCCUUUGUGGAUGGAGCCGUCUAAGGAGUCUGA
RNAcentral lists this ribosomal RNA (1432 nucleotides) under Bifidobacterium pseudocatenulatum. RNAcentral describes it as "bacterial SSU rRNA". It matches the Rfam family "Bacterial small subunit ribosomal RNA". The record is from RNAcentral. Lineage: Bacteria; Bacillati; Actinomycetota; Actinomycetes; Bifidobacteriales; Bifidobacteriaceae.